Long non-coding RNA from Vespa velutina, 1764 nucleotides. RefSeq lists it as uncharacterized. NCBI's taxonomy places the organism in Eukaryota, Metazoa, Arthropoda, Insecta, Hymenoptera, Vespidae. The transcript is spliced from 3 exons. The record is from RefSeq and is a predicted model, not a curated record.
GGGCCCCUCUCUUUUUCUCAAAGACGAAUGAAGAGAAAAAAGAGAAAAAAGUAAAAAAAAAAAAAAAAAAUAGCGAAAAAAAAAUAAGAAACAACAACAACAAAAAAGAUAAGAAAUGGAAAAGGCCGAUUCCCGAUAUAUCGCUCUAGCACGCGACUCUUCUCUCUUUCGGGCGAUCCUCGAAAGCGUGCGCGUGCGUUUCAGAGGAUCGCAAUCCGUGAUACUACUCUCUCAACUACCGAUCCUCGUCGGCGGGCGACUCGCUCGCCACUCUCGCGUGAAACGAUCAGGAGUACGCCAAACGAAAAGAGAGGAUAUAUGGAGUUGGUUAAAAGGGAGGGGGAGAGAGCUCUUGAUAGAGACUGAUAGGAGCGAGCGAGAGAGACGGAGAGAGGAAUAGGUGAUAUGAGACUAAGAUUGAGAGAGAGAGAGAAAGAGAAAGAGAUAGGAAGAGGGAAAAGAGAGGAGAAAAGGAAAAAGAGAGAAAGGGAGGAGAAGAAGAGAUAGAUAGAUAGAUAGAGAGAGAGAGAGAGAGAGAGAGAGAAAAAAGUCGGUCACAGCCGCAGCCGAAUUCGCCGGCGCUCGUCACGUCGGGAGUCGUGCGAGCCACGGGAGGAUUGAGUGUGUACUAACAUACACCUUCUUGUCCUUGCCUGUCUUAUAUAGUGACUCAUCAGGCAGCGGCCCCACGGCGGCCCCUCUGUGCGGCGGGGUGGGGGCGCCCCGUAGAUCAGCGGCGGCAGCAGCAGCAGCAGCAGCAGCAGCAGCAGCAGCAGGAGCACAGAACGGCACAGCAUAGCAUAACACAGUACAACAGAACAGAUCACAGAACAGUACGGCAGAGUACAGUACACAUGGCACAAUAUACAAUAGAAAAGUACGGCACGACGAAGAAGAGGCACGAUAGAACGCAGAAUACCUUAGCAUAGCACAGUACAAAAGUAACAGAAAGAGUAACAGUUACAACAGCAACAGCAGCAGCAACAGCAACGUUUGCAGUAGCACACGUUGAGAAGAUCAUUCGGGCUUCGUCACGUCGUACAGUAGUGAGGACUCAAGAGGGGAGGGGAGAAAGGGGCAGAGAGUACGAUCGUCAGCCACGAGGGUGGUGGGCAGAACACGAGCGAGGGUGCGAGGGCGGACCAAACCCUCGGGCCCCCCGCGACGGACCCCGCAAAGUCCGGAGAGAGUCCCUCUGCUGAAUGGUGGGGGUAAAUGUGGCUUCUCGCCACGGAGAACCGCUUCGAGCACUCAGACGGCGCGAUGCGGCGCUAGUGAGCGCGUCGUCCGCUCCGAUAAAAUAUUUUCGUAUAUUAAAAUCCUCAUGCCAUAUAAUGGCAAUAUAUCUUCCGCCUUUUUAUUACGACGUUAUUCUCGCAUUUAAUUAUAGUGCGGAUUGUCAAAAGGAAGUGUGCAAAUUUUGAGUUCCAUUUCUAUUUUUAUUAUUGAUUGUUAUUUAACUCGAAAGAGGCGUCGACGAUUGGUUCAUCGGUAACGUCGAACGUCCUGAUAUCGAGCGAUCGUUUCGUUCGUGUAAUUUCGUAAUCCCGAUGUGUCAAAUGUUUAAUAUUUCAACCAAUGAUCUCCCUCACGCACGUUUUAUAACUUACGAAGUCAAAUCAUACGGCAGGCAGGCAGGCAGGCAGGCAGGCAAGCAAGCAGGCGGACGGACGGACGCAAAGGAGCGCAACGGAAGGAGAGCGCAGAACGUACGAACCGGUCUCUCAGCUUAUAUAUCCAUGCGAGUUCGACGAACCGCCUUCU